AACAUCGCGCACCUGCGGGAACCUGCGGAAGGAUCAUUACAGAGUUGCAAAACUCCCUAAACCAUUGUGAACGUUACCUAAGCCGUUGCUUCGGCGGGCGGCCCGGGUCCUUCCCGGCGCCCAUCGGCCCUCGCGGGCGCCCGCCGGAGGUAAACCAAACUAUUGCAUUGUAUGGCCUCUCUGAGUCUUCUGUACUGAAUAAGUCAAAACUUUCAGCAAUGGAUCUCAGAUCGGAAGAGC
RNAcentral lists this unclassified non-coding RNA (240 nucleotides) under soil metagenome. Its description in RNAcentral is "partial contains 5.8S ribosomal RNA, internal transcribed spacer 2, and large subunit ribosomal RNA". The record is from RNAcentral.